This 392-nucleotide ribosomal RNA is filed under the name uncultured bacterium. RNAcentral describes it as "bacterial SSU rRNA". It matches the Rfam family "Bacterial small subunit ribosomal RNA", at positions 128 to 518 of the family's 1533-position model. The record is from RNAcentral.
GCCUCAUACUGGGGGAGUAACAGUUGGAAACGAACUGUUAAGUACCGCAUAAGCGCACGGUGUCGCAUGACACAGUGUGAAAAACUACCGGUGGUAGUGAGAUGGGCCCGCGUCAGAUUAGCUAGUUGGUGAGGUAAAGGCCCACCAAGGCGACGAUCUGUAGCCGGACUGAGAGGUCGGACGGCCACAUUGGGACUGAGACACGGCCCAAACUCCUACGGGAGGCAGCAGUGGGGGAUAUUGCACAAUGGAGGAAACUCUGAUGCAGCGACGCCGCCGUGAGUGAAGAAGUAUUUCGGUAUGUAAAGCUCUAUCAGCAGGGAAGAAAGGCUCUUCGGAGAGAUGACGGUACCUGACUAAGAAGCCCCGGCUAACUACGUGCCAGCCGCAGC